UGACCUCGAAUCAGGUAGGGAUACCCGCUGAACUUAAGCAUAUC
This 44-nucleotide ribosomal RNA is filed under the name Tuber qujingense. RNAcentral's name for it is "Tuber sp. 2016B partial 28S ribosomal RNA". The record is from RNAcentral. Lineage: Eukaryota; Fungi; Ascomycota; Pezizomycetes; Pezizales; Tuberaceae.